Molecule: long non-coding RNA, 3063 nt
Filed under: Fukomys damarensis (Damara mole-rat)
Lineage: Eukaryota; Metazoa; Chordata; Mammalia; Rodentia; Bathyergidae
Description: lncRNA (ENSFDAG00000023903.1)
Source: RNAcentral
AAUUUAUCAAAAAUAAAAGAUAAGAUAUACAUCAACAUUUUUGAUGAAAUGAUCAUUGAAAAACAUAAGAUUAGUGGAACAUUUCAAGUAAAUAUUCCACCAGUGUUGCUUGGAUAUUCUUGGAGUAAGAAUUAUGUAUCUCCAAAAGAAGAUUACAAUGGACAGAAUUUAAGAGAAUGUACCUUCAUAAAUAUUUUUGCUACCAUUGAACCACAAAUAUCAUAUGUUGCCUAUAAUUCAAAACUAGACAAGUUUUCAGAUCAAGUAGAUGUUUUGCAGAGAGCACAGAUUUUUAAAAAUAAUUGUAAAACAAUGUUUCCCAACCGAAGAAUCAUAACUACUGUUUUUAAUGAUGAAGGGAUACAGACAUUAGUAACAAGAUAUAUCAAAGCAUUAAAUCCACCUCAACAACUUCUAGAUAUAUUUCUUCAUGAUUCUAAUGCAACACUUGACCUCAUUGCUCGAUUUGUGUCUCUGAUUCCUUUUAUGCCUGCUACGCUGGAUGCCAAUGAUGGUUCUGAUAUAUGGAUGACAUCAGAGCGCUGCAUCAGCUUAGCUAUUGGAAAUAAGGAAGAGCAUGCCAUACUUCUCUGCAAUUUCUUUUUAUAUUUUGGAAAGAAGGCAUCGGUCCUCCUGGGAACCUCAUUAUUAGAAGGGCAUGUUGCCUAUGUAUUAACUCAGGAAACUAAUGAAUGUUUGCUUUGGAAUCCAUCAACUGGACAAUGUCACAAGCAGUUUGAUCCAUUUUGUCCCUUACAAAGCAUAGAUUGUUUGUUUGAUGACAGGAAUGAAAGUUUCUGGAAACAGUUGCUUCCAAAAAAUUUUCAGGGGACAAAAUUACAAAGCAUACAGCCUGAAGAAAUCAUUUAUUCUGAUACAAAUAAAAAUAUGCUAGAAGAUCUAAAGAACAGGAUUGAAAGAACUCUAAAGUAUAAAAUAAUGGAAUGGAGACCUAAGCACCCAACACGUUGGAAUCGACAAUGUACUUCUAUUUUGCGACAAAUCCUUCCUAAGCUGGAACUUGGUACAGGAAGUCUUGUUUCAUCUGAAGGAGAGAGUGAAUUUGAAAAACUGCUACAAUUUUACUGGAUCACAGGAUUUCCUGUUCAGGUGCCAUACACUGAUGUUCAGUCAGUUAUUGAUGCCGUAUAUCAAACUGGAAUUCACUCUUCUGAAUUUCCUGAGACAGAAUUUGCUUUAGCUGUAUAUAUUCACCCAUACCCAAACAACAUAUUAUCUGUGUGGGUCUAUUUGGUAUCCUUAACCCAAUGUCACUGAAAAGAAGGGAAAGUCUUUGAAGAUAAGUGUAGAUGACCAGAGAUCUCUUCCAGGAAGAUCUUUUGAGCAUUACUCUCUACAACAGAUAUUACUCUGGAAAAGAAGCAAUUCUGGCUUGUUCCCCUUAAGGCCAACGCUUCUCAGAUGUGGACCUGACACCACUUUCACAAGAAUCACCUGGAGAAUCUUGUUGACAAUGCAAAUUCCAGAUGCCACCUAAGACCUAUUGAAUCAGAUCUCUAAGAGUGGAGCUCCAGAUUCUGCAUUAUUUUCAGCAAACUCCCCAGGAAAUCGUGAUAAGACUGCUAAUAGAAAAAGAAUGCAGCCAAACAGAAUGCUGUCAUUAUUAAAGUAGAGAAGAUACAUUUAAUGCAGGUUCUGAUAAUAUUGCAUGUAGAAGUUAUUCAAAUUGAAACUUAAGGUCAUUGCCUUUCAUAAAAGGUUAUUUCACUGGUAAAGAAAACCAGGAAAAUCUACCGAAGUCAGCUUCUAGGGACUUCUUAAAAGUUUGCUCUUAGAAUACUUCUGACAAGAAAUCCUUACAGCUCCUCAAAUUUGGAAGGGACUCCCAGGACACUUAUUUUUUUUGUUGACUCUGUGAAGAAGUAAGGAAACUGUCUUAACAAAUCCCAGGGCUCUUUUUGUCUUUAGUGAGUGGCUCCCACUUGGCCUCUGGCACUUUUCUAUUAUUCUCGUUUUCCCAGUAGUGGCCACAGGGAGGCUCAUGUAGAUUCCAGGAGCCUCCAGAAAGGAUGGAUAGGAAUCUAAACAGGAAACAACACUGUAUAUUUUUAUUCUAUUUCAUUGUUCUGUGCUCCACGGAGAAAAGUAUUUAUACAGUUUACUUAAAUGUGACUUAUCAUUUUAAAAAUAUAACCAAGGGAUGCAUACUUCUAAAAGUUGACCAGAAGGGCCGGGGAAUUAGCUCAGUGGUUCCGCUGCCUGCCUUGCAAGCACAAGGUCCUGAGUUCAAUCCCGGGUAGCAAAAUAAAUAAAUAAAUAAAAGUUGACCAGAACAGUUUUAUCUGUCCCAUUGCAAGAGCACUGCACCUGCUUGGUUCACUCAAAUAGAGAGCAGAGACCCUCAUAUUCAUCCACAGGGAACUUCCAAUCUCUGUCCCUUCCUCCAAUUUGCCACUUAGGCUGGUGCUACAGAUGGCCUUAUUUGUUUCCAGUGAUGUUAAUCUUGGGCCUACCUUGAGAUUACCAGAAGAGGUAAGGUAGGGACAUGGAUGCAGGAAUUUUUUUCUUCAAGUUAAAACCUACUCAUAUGUCUUCUGACAUGCAUAAGAAAACCAAUUAGAAUUUUUGUUUUUAUUUUAAAGUUUGUGCUUAAGUGUUAUAUGAAAUUUUAUUUUAAAACAAGUUUCCCACUUUGAGGUGGUGCAAUAUGGUGCCUGUGAAAAGAUGGCAUUACCUGGGCCGGGGAUUUAGUGCAGCAGUUCUGCCUUGCAAGCACAAGGACCCAAGUUCAAUCCCUGGUACCAAAGGAAAAAAAAAAAAAAAAAAAAAAAGAUGGCAUUACCAUAGAAAUGCUAAAUUUAUGUAUUUAUUUCUGUAGGACUUCUUUUCUUGUGUAUGGCUUUAGAAUUUGUAGGCCACUUAAGAGUAAGGUAGCAAACAGUCACAAGUAUGAGGACUUUUCUUUAUUACAUGCAUUUUUUUAGAUGUUUAUCUGCUACUUUUUAAACUAAUUUCUCCUGAAAAUUGUGAAGUUGUCCAUAAUGAAGCAUUUUUUUCCUUCAAAGGUUUUUAAAAUACAUACUUUAAAAUGGAGUAUAAGGG